This 311-nucleotide ribosomal RNA is filed under the name uncultured soil bacterium. RNAcentral describes it as "bacterial SSU rRNA". It matches the Rfam family "Bacterial small subunit ribosomal RNA", at positions 26 to 346 of the family's 1533-position model. The record is from RNAcentral.
AGAUUGAACGCUGGCGGCAUGCCUUACACAUGCAAGUCGAACGGUAGAGUAGCAAUACUUGAGAGUGGCGAACGGGUGAGUAAUAUAUCGGAACGUGCCCAGUCGUGGGGGAUAACGUAGAGAAAUUUACGCUAAUACCGCAUACGAUCUAAGGAUGAAAGCGGGGGACGUAAGGCCUCGCGCGAUUGGAGCGGCUGAUAUCAGAUUAGGUUGUGGUGAGGUAAAAGCUCACCAAGCCGACGAUCUGUACGCUGGUUUGAGAGAACGACCAGCACACGUGGACUGAGACUACGGCCCAGACUCCGUAGGGA